This is a long non-coding RNA of Eutrema salsugineum, 502 nucleotides long. RefSeq lists it as uncharacterized. The record is from RefSeq and is a predicted model, not a curated record. Lineage: Eukaryota; Viridiplantae; Streptophyta; Magnoliopsida; Brassicales; Brassicaceae. The transcript has 3 exons.
AAUAGAAAAAAAAAAAUUUGUAGCUCCCAAAUUUCUCCAAGGCAAAAUAAGAUCUGCCUUAACUUUCUCACAGAGACAUCAUUGCAUGUCGUUUUCCAGCUCGAAAUCUCAAUUUCCUUAUUGAAUUCACACUCCCACUUUUCCUCUCGAAUUCUCCUCCUAAUCUGAUGCUCUGAUACUCUAGCAGCUGCUGAGGAAAUCUCAUUUUCGUUGCUGAGGGAUUCUCGUCAAUUUCUCAAGAACGAAGCUGACAUUGGAAGGCAGGUUUCAGGGUUCGAUUCAGUCAAAGAGAGCUUUGGGUUUCUGUAAUAGACGCAAGUUUUAUGCUUCCAAAGUUCGCAAUCAGCAAAGGAGUGCACAAAUUUUGUUUGUGAAUAAUUAGUUUUCAGAGUUAUUGGGAAUUCAUGGGAAUCCAUCCAAAGUCCCUCGGAAGAUUAGACCAAUAUGAUCUAGUAUAUAAGUAAUGUCCAACUUCAAUUAGUAUGAGGCCUUUUGGGAAGGA